RNAcentral lists this transfer RNA (71 nucleotides) under Lachnospiraceae bacterium. Its description in RNAcentral is "tRNA-Gly". It matches the Rfam family "tRNA". From Rfam's summary of the family: Transfer RNA (tRNA) molecules are approximately 80 nucleotides in length. The record is from RNAcentral. Lineage: Bacteria; Bacillati; Bacillota; Clostridia; Lachnospirales; Lachnospiraceae.
GCAGACAUGGUUCAUUGGUAGAAUGCUAGCUUCCCAAGCUGGAGAGGCGGGUUCGAUUCCCGUUGUCUGCU